RNAcentral lists this long non-coding RNA (353 nucleotides) under Pan troglodytes (chimpanzee). RNAcentral's name for it is "long non-coding RNA NONPTRT000323". Lineage: Eukaryota; Metazoa; Chordata; Mammalia; Primates; Hominidae. The record is from RNAcentral.
GCUCUUCAGCUGGGAAGCAAAUACUUCAGAGAGAACUCCUUUAGCUCUUCUGUCCUGCCUCUAGCCACCAGCAUGUCACUUCUAUGCACUUGGCUCACUCCACCCAGUCCUGUGACUCAUGACUCAACUGGUCCUGUGGACCCCCAAUCAAGAGAUGGACUCAGCUCAUGUGGACCAUUUUCCAUACCCCUAUGACUGCCUCCGCAACCAACGAGCAACACCCAUCACCUAGUCACCUGCCCACCAUACUAUCCUUGAAAAUCUCUAAUCUUCAAGCCUUCAGGGAGACUGAUUUGAGUAAUAACUCUAUCUUCUGUGUGUCUGGCCUCGUGUUAAUUAAACUCUUUCUUUAC